This is a small nucleolar RNA of Ornithorhynchus anatinus (platypus), 138 nucleotides long. NCBI's taxonomy places the organism in Eukaryota, Metazoa, Chordata, Mammalia, Monotremata, Ornithorhynchidae. The record is from RefSeq and is a predicted model, not a curated record.
CGGCUCUCAGGAUGGCCCCUGGAGAGUUUCGGGUACUCCACCAGUCUCUGCUAUGGGAGAGAGAGUCAAGCAGAGGCCUACUCAUUCCGUUCCUAGCUUGGCCAGUGGCUAGCGAGUGGAAGGCCAUCUGCUACAAGU